This 6785-nucleotide long non-coding RNA is filed under the name Zea mays. Its description in RNAcentral is "long non-coding RNA (ZMAY_LNC003832)". The record is from RNAcentral. Lineage: Eukaryota; Viridiplantae; Streptophyta; Magnoliopsida; Poales; Poaceae.
GACUGCUCGCCUUACGUGGAGCGCCUUCGGCUACCGUUUCUCCUCUUCUCUCCCCACUCACGUCCUCAUUCAAGCGACCGUUCCUCUGCAGUAACACCGCCACCGCGCCAUUAUUGGCCAAUGAAGCUCUACCGGCGUCUGUUACACCUUCCCACACCUCUACAAAACUCGACCGUGCCCCCAUAGAGCCAGUCCCCAUCCGUCCCAAGCCCACUCCGAGCUCCCCAGCCGCACCUCCAUCGAACUCCCUCCUCUGUGGCUUGGUCCUCGCCGUUCACCGCUGACCGGAGCCGCUCCCGAUAGCUGUUGUGCUGUCGACACCGGAGCCGCUCGCCGCUAGAGCCGUUCACCGUCGACCGGAACUCCGAAGCCGACACUGCGUCCCAACGACCUUCCCCCGACACCCGACUACCUGCCCCAUUCGUCCUCGUUCACUGCACAAGAGAAAGGAGAGGUAGAAAAAGAAUAUUUUGCUGUCUAAUCCCUAUAGAUAGAUUAUUUUGCGUGAGAUUAUUUCUUAGUUCAAAAGAGUUAGUUAAUCACGAUCUAACUUCUGUGGCGAAUUAUAAUUUUUAGUUGUGAAUUUUGAGUCUGAAAUCAUGUUUAUACUGAACGAUUAAUUUCAUAUGUAUGUGAUGAUCUAUUUUAAUUAGUGUAUGCUGUCUUUCGCCUUUGUGUAUUUUAAUUUGAUUAUGAUUGUUGACAUUAAUUUAAAUAUAGUUUGUUAGAGUAAAAGAUUAAGGGAUAGGUAAACCAUAUAUUUGUAACAAUAAUACUAGAUGAAUAAUUCUACGGUUGUCUUUGCUCAGGAUGAAUUAUAUAUUUUAGUCACACCGUAUGUGUUCGUAUGUUCGAUUAUACACAAAUUGCUUAUUCACUAAGUCACGCUGGAGUCUCGAUUAAUAUUAAAAUAAUAUAGCGACUAUGUCCACUAUAAUCUAAAUAGUACAAUUAAAUUAGUAGUUUAAUUUAGUUCUGUUAAUAUUAAGGUUAUGUGACUUCUAAAUAAUGUUGUAACGUCUACUAUAAUUUUUCUUUUAGAAAGAAAUAACAAAAUAUUACCCACAUCCUUUCGGUAGAAAUACAAUAAUUAAUUAAUUAAUUAAUUUUCUAGAUUCUAUAAAGUUUGAAUUAGCGCCAUAUUUAUGUAUUUUAAAAUGAAUCCAUAUAGUAUAUACAUCCAUAGUCAAUUUGCCAUAUAGUUUCCUCUAGUGUAUUCUCGAGACUAAAUUAUUAGUAGUUUACCUCGUAGCAAAUGAGACGAUCGUCGAUAUGGAUGGACUUAUAUUAUAAUUACAAAUCAAGUUUUAUUUCUAGACGUCUUCCUUUUAUAUGUAUGAUUUGUAAAGUGUAUGUUUUAUUGUUUGUUGAAUGGUGCAUGUUUAUUUAUUGGUGUAUGUUUUCUCUUUGUAUGGCAACGUACGACGUUAUUAGAAGCUGAUUGUGUGGUAGAGGAUCCGAACUCGUUCGAGGACGAUCCGCAGGACUCGCUUGAGCAAGGCAAGUGGAUUCUCCCUCUGCAUAUUCUGUUUGUACCUAUUCAUUGCAUAUAAUAAUGUUUACCUUUUGAUAUAUUGCAUAAUUUGAUGGGAUAACCUAAUUAAGGAUUUCCUAGAUUUACUACCUGUAUUCCUUGUUUAACCUGGGAAAAAUUGUUAAGUUGUGCAAGAUUUAUGCUAUCGCCCAACUUAAUGAUUCCUAAUGUCACUCAUUAACUGGUUUUAAUGUUCCAAGGAUUUAAUUGGCAAUUAUGGCAUUAACCCGAUGGUUAAGAUAACAUUAUUACAAAUUUAAUUGGAACAUGGAGUGACCACCCAGGAUAACAGUGCAACCACGAGUGCUAUCAUGGCUCUGGCUUUGGUAAUUAGCUCUAUAUGCUUAGUGCCUAGCAACCUUACCUGAAAUAUGGGCAAGAGGGGGAGCGGUAGGUGCUGGCAACCCACGUUAACAUGGGGUCGUAUUCUUGGCUAAGGUACUUCACCCAGGGGGCCACCACCAUCGUCUUUAGAAACCUUAGCGGGUUGCUUCGUAUUAAGGUAUUUUGUGAAAGCCUCAUAAUGGAUCCCUUGCCAUUCACCUCGGCAGUGUUUAAGGGUCCGAUCAACCCGGGCUAGAUGGGAUACAUGGCUUGUGGGUAAAGUUGUACCAUCUCUGCAGAGUGUAAAACUGAUAUAUCAGCCGUGCUCCCGGUUAUGAGCGACCUGGACUCCUCACAUGAUAAUUGAACUUGAAGAUGGAAUUAAAUUGAGAUCCGAUGAUCUGCCAAUAAUUUGCUUAAGUGGUUUCACUUAAGUGUUUUUGAUAUAUUCAUACUCCUUUGUUUACAUGGGAUAUUUGGGAUUCACACUUAUUAGUAAGACAGGUGUUGUUAAUAAAAUGUUGACCAACUAAAAUGCUUACUGCUCAACCUUAGCCUCACCUUGUUAUACCUGCAUUAGUUUUUCCCCCACUUGCUGAGUCCCGACCAUAAGUGAGCUCACCCUUGCUUAAUUUUGAUCAGAGGGUGAUGCUGGAGACUUUGAUGGAGAUUUUAUCGACGACGAUGAUUUCUAAGUCUAACGAUGCGCCGGUCAUCUUCCUGUGGGAGAUUGCCCAGUUGUUUAUUUCCGCUUUACUUUGAUGUGAUACUUGUUAAAGAUACAAUGUUUCAGAUGAUGUAAUAAAGUAUUAUACUCUCUUUACGCCUUUAUUGCAUUGUCUUUUGAUAUAUUACACUUGUGACGUCAACAUAUGUGUGGAAAUGGAUCCUGGCACACAUAUGGUAUGCGCUCGGUUCUACCCCUGGAACCGGGUGUGACAGAAGUGGUAUCAGAGCUAUGCUGACCCUAGGUCGUUAGACUAGUUAGAAAUGGAAAGCCUAGUUAGUCUUUCAAAGCUUGAGUUACUUUCCUGCAUAAAAAAACUUAUUUUAUCUCAAAACUCAACUCCUUCAUAUUCAAUUCUUCUAGUCUGAUUUUCUCUCGUCUAUCGGAAGGUUGCUAUCAGAAGAACUGCUUACAAAAGUAUCGCCUAUGUUGCUCAAGAUCGGCCAACACCCUCUACCCCACCUUUGGAUGAAGAAGAAACGUCUUUCUCUGCCUUAUCCUCAUUCUUUUUGGAAGGCUUUGUUAUGGAACCCCUAAGUCUAUCACCAUACUCCUUCAGGUUGAUAGGAUAGUUUAUUGAAAUAAGCUAGAUGCGAUAGACGAUAAAACAGUGUUAUACUAUAAUAAUAACAACAAUGUGAUGGUGAUAUUUGAUAUGUUUGAGUUGGAUUUUUGUUUGAGUGCAAUGGUCUGAUGGCCAUAAGAGCAUUAAAAAAACAUAAACUUAAGAAAUUUCCCUCUAGAUUCUUUUCUACUCCCCACUUCUCUAAGGACUUCACCUCCUAACCAAUCAGAUGGUGAACGCUCGUCAAGGACCCAACAACAACCGGAACCAGCGUGGUCAACAAGCACCACCACCACCACCACCAAAUCCCAAUAUGGAGCAGUUCAUCGCCGCCCAGAUGUAGAUUCUGCAAGGACUCACUGCGGCUGUUCAGCAAUUACAACAGAACCAACAGAAUCAGCAACCCCAGCAGCAGCAGUAUGCACCCCCGGCCAGAGAUAAACACCGGGAUUUCAUGAGUCAUCACCCGCCGACAUUUUCUCAUGCGGUUGAUCCUCUGGAUGCCGAUGACUGGCUCAAGGUCAUUGGAAAGAAGCUGGACAUCACUCAGUGCAACAACUGGGAGAAGGUCUUGUACGCCUCGGGAAGACUCGAGGGAACUGCGUCCGAUUGGUGGGAUGCCUUCACAGCGGCACAUCCCAAUGCGGAUACUAUAACUUGGCAGGAGUUUCAGGAGAACUUCCGCGCUCAUCACAUCCCCUCUGGAAUCAUGAAGUUAAGGAAGAAGAGAUUCGUAAAGGACAAGAGUCUGAUGAGAAAAUCAAGGAAAUUAAAACUUUGAUUGGGAUGGGUAAAGCCCCAGAUUUCACGGAAGAUGAUCAAGGCACAGUAUGGUUUAAGAAAAGAAUCUGUGUACCAGAAAUUGAGCACUUGCGCCAACUUAUUUUGAGAGAAGCUCAUGAUUCAGCUUACUCUAUUCACCCGGGAAGUACAAAGAUGUACCAGGAUCUUAAGGAAAAGUAUUGGUGGUACGGUUUGAAAAGAGAUGUUGCUACUCAUGUUGCAUUAUGUGACGUGUGUCAGCGAGUUAAAGCCAAACACCAAAGACCAGCAGAAUUGCUACAACCUCUCAAGGUACCGGAAUGGAAAUGGGAAGAAAUCAGUAUGGAUUUCAUAGUUGGACUACCCCGUACUCGAGAUGGCUAUGAUUCAAUAUGGGUCAUAGUAGACAGGUUAACUAAAGUAGCACACUUUAUACCUGUGAAGACAACUUACUCGGGAGCCCAGUUAGCAGAGUUAUACAUGUCGAGGAUUGUUUGUCUGCAUGGAGUACCGAAGAAGAUCGUAUCGGAUUGAGGAACCCAAUUCACCUCGCGCUUUUGGAAAAGACUUCAUGAGUCCAUGGAUACCAAGCUAAAUUUUAGUUCAGCUUAUCAUCCGCAGACGGAUGGGCAAACAGAAAGGACAAACCAAGUAUUAGAAGAUAUGCUAAGAGCUUGCGCUCUAAAGCAUGGUAGAAGCUGGGAUAAAAGUUUGCCUUAUGCAGAAUUUUCGUAUAACAACAGUUAUCAAGCAAGUCUCAAAAUGGCACCAUUUGAAGCACUAUAUGGACGAAAGUGUAGAACACCGCUUUAUUGGAAUCAGACUGGAGAAAGUCAAGUAUUUGGACCAGAAAUACUCCAAGAGGCCGAAAAGCAAGUGCAGAUUAUCAGAGAAAAUUUGAAGACAGCACAGUCAAGACAGAAGAGCUAUGCUGAUAAUAGAAGAAGAGAAUUGAUGUUUGAAGUAGGAGACUUUGUCUACCUUAAAGUUUCAUCGAUGAGAGGAAUGAAAAGGUUUAAGGUUAAAGGAAAAUUAUCACCUCGCUAUAUUGGCCCAUUCAAGAUUUUGGAAAGAAAAGGUGAAGUAGCCUAUCAGUUAGAGCUACCCGAUAGAUUAUAAGAUGUGCAUGACGUAUUUCACGUAUCACAACUUAAGAAGUGCUUAAGGGUACCAGAAGAACAGUUACCUAUGGAGGAAUUGAAUGUCAAUGAGGAUUUGACCUGUUCGGAGUACCCGAUCAGAAUUUUGGAAACAUCUCGCAGAAUUACACGGAGUAAAGUCAUUAACAUGUGCAAAGUUCAGUGGAGUCAUCAUUCGGAAGAUGAAGCCACUUGGGAAAGAGAAGAUGAACUCAGAGCAGAAUUCCCCCAGUUAUUCUCGGAAGUUUCUUAAUCUCGAGGACGAGAUUCUUUUUAAGAGGGGUAGGUUUUGUAACACCUCAAAUCCAUCAAUUAAAAAAAAUGAUGAUUCAAUUUUAGUUGUUGAAUGUAUUAGAUAGGAAAAUGUUAUUCUCAAGAAUUAAAAAAAUGAUAAAUAAAUAAUUAACUUUUGAAUAUAUAUUGGUCACAAAUGUUUGAUGCAUUCAUUUUUUAGGAGCAUGGUUUUUUUGUUGUUGUUUUGUUUGUUAAUGAAUUGCAACAAAUUAUUUUAAUUUAUUCUCUUUUGUGAGGCCAAAUUUAUAUAAAUAAUAGAAAUUUGCCUAAAAAUUAUUUACUAUGAUUUUUAUUAUUAGAUUUAUAAUACUUUUGUAAUAUUUAAAGUAUAUUUAUUAAUGAAUAACUUAUUGAAAAAAAUAAAAGAAAAAAGAAUUUCGAAAUUAACAAAAAGAAAAAAAAAGAGAAAUGAAAAAAAUGAAAAACGGCCGCUCGGCCAACUAACCUGGGCGGACAGCUUCUUGCAGUCACGUUCCUCUCCCUUCUUUUUCUCUCUUACUUGUGGACCCCACACGUCAAGGCUAUUUUCUUCUCCAUCGUUGCUUCCAGAAUCCAGACCACACGAACGCGCCGCCGCUCGCAUGGACUCGUCAAGCACCACGCUGGCUCAUCCCUGCGUCUCCUCGACUGCUCGCCUUACGUGGAGCGCCUUCGGCUACCGUUUCUCCUCUUCUCUCCCCACUCACGUCCUCAUUCAAGCGACCGUUCCUCUGCAGUAACACCGCCACCGCGCCAUUAUUGGCCAAUGAAGCUCUACCGGCGUCUGUUACACCUUCCCACACCUCUACAAAACUCGACCGUGCCCCCAUAGAGCCAGUCCCCAUCCGUCCCAAGCCCACUCCGAGCUCCCCAGCCGCACCUCCAUCGAACUCCCUCCUCUGUGGCUUGGUCCUCGCCGUUCACCGCUGACCAGAGCCGCUCGCCGCUAGAGCCGUUCACCGUCGACCGGAACUCCGAAGCCGACACUGCGUCCCAACGACCUUCCCCCGACACCCGACUACCUGCCCCAUUCGUCCUCGUUCACUGCACAAGAGAAAGGAGAGGUAGAAAAAGAAUAUUUUGCUGUCUAAUCCCUAUAGAUAGAUUAUUUUGCGUGAGAUUAUUUCUUAGUUCAAAAGAGUUAGUUAAUCACGAUCUAACUUCUGUGGCGAAUUAUAAUUUUUAGUUGUGAAUUUUGAGUCUGAAAUCAUGUUUAUACUGAACGAUUAAUUUCAUAUGUAUGUGAUGAUCUAUUUUAAUUAGUGUAUGCUGUCUUUCGCCUUUGUGUAUUUUAAUUUGAUUAUGAUUGUUGACAUUAAUUUAAAUAUAGUUUGUUAGAGUAAAAGAUUAAGGGAUAGGUAAACCAUAUAUUUGUAACAAUAAUACUAGAUGAAUAAUUCUACGGUUGUCUUUGCUCAGGAUGAAUUAUAUAUUUUAGUCACACCGUAUGUGUUCGUAUGU